CGUCCCCGCAGUGGCUCCGCGGGCCGAGUGGCGCUGUCCCGGGAAGACAAGGAGGCCGCCAAGCUGGGGCUGUCCGUGUUCACGCACCACCGCGUGGAGAGCAGCCGGCCUGGGGCCUCCCCGACCUCUGUCAGGAAGAAGCCGCGCUCGGAGGAGAAGGCCGAGGCAGGCCUGGAGAACCACAGGAAGACCAGGAAAGAGAAGAAGAAGAAGAAGAAGAAGCACAAGAAAGAGAAAAAGAAAGACAAGGAGCACCGCAAGGGGCGGGCCGCCUCGCCCCCGUCUUCCUCGCCCGCCCGGCCUGGGGGGCUGGGCCCCGAGCCCCCGUCCCCCCGCUGCAAGAGGAGGCGACACCACGACAGUGACUGAGGCCGCACGGGGAGCCCGAGCCCGGAGCGCCGGCGAGGGCUGGCCUGCCCAGGGGACGGCCCAACCUGCUCCACACUGGCCUCUGCGCCCUACCCCCACCCAGGGGCCUCGCUGACCAAGCACCCUGUCUGGCGUUCAUGUUCUUUCUAUCAACUGGCUUUGUACUUAAAUAAACGUAUUUUUAAGUCAGG
Condylura cristata (star-nosed mole) is the source of this 560-nucleotide long non-coding RNA. RefSeq lists it as uncharacterized. The transcript has 4 exons. NCBI's taxonomy places the organism in Eukaryota, Metazoa, Chordata, Mammalia, Eulipotyphla, Talpidae. The record is from RefSeq and is a predicted model, not a curated record.